RNAcentral lists this unclassified non-coding RNA (341 nucleotides) under Hevea brasiliensis (rubber tree). The record is from RNAcentral. Lineage: Eukaryota; Viridiplantae; Streptophyta; Magnoliopsida; Malpighiales; Euphorbiaceae.
UAACAUGUCAAUAUCUAGAAAUUUAAAUCUACAAUUUCGAGAUUGCCGCUACUGCUGUCAAUACUGUUGACAAAAACACAUUAGCAUUUUUCACAAUUGAAAUUGUAACUCAGUGAAUGAGCUGAAGACCAUGGACGAGUUUUCAGCUCCAUACACCAUACCCAUUGAUCCCAUGGGGAUCAACUGGGCUCAUGUUAACCCCCGAGGUUCUUACCUUCACUUCAUUCCAAAUCAGAGAUGCUGUCGUGGAAUCCAGGCUCAGCAUGUUACUUCCAGCUGGAGAUCCUUCCAAAGUAAGUCUUCCAUGACUCUCAUUUGAAGUGAGGCAGCUCUCAGUGGAG